RNAcentral lists this transfer RNA (73 nucleotides) under Alligator mississippiensis (American alligator). It matches the Rfam family "tRNA". From Rfam's summary of the family: Transfer RNA (tRNA) molecules are approximately 80 nucleotides in length. Their secondary structure includes four short double-helical elements and three loops (D, anti-codon, and T loops). The record is from Rfam by way of RNAcentral. Lineage: Eukaryota; Metazoa; Chordata; Crocodylia; Alligatoridae.
GCUCUGCUACCCCAAUAGACAGGGUGCUGGCUUUCUAAGCUAGGGAUUGUGGGCUCAAUUCCCACCUGUGGUA